RNAcentral lists this unclassified non-coding RNA (191 nucleotides) under uncultured Xenasmatella. RNAcentral describes it as "sequence contains ITS1". Lineage: Eukaryota; Fungi; Basidiomycota; Agaricomycetes; Russulales; Xenasmataceae. The record is from RNAcentral.
CUGAGUUUUGAAUGAAGUUGUUCUGGUCUUUCGGGGCAAGUGAACACUUCUCUCAAUCCAUCUUACACCUGUGCACCUAUCGGGGAAGACUUGGAUCUAAGUUGGGUCACGACGGCGAUCUACAGUCUCCUCUUUAUACCAAAUAACAGUUUUAGAAAGUCUUUUUUGCUUGAUGCAAACUUAAAUAAAUA